This 102-nucleotide non-coding RNA is filed under the name Roseiflexus sp. Its description in RNAcentral is "TPP sequence". It matches the Rfam family "TPP riboswitch aptamer (THI element)". From Rfam's summary of the family: Vitamin B(1) in its active form thiamin pyrophosphate (TPP) is an essential coenzyme that is synthesised by coupling of pyrimidine and thiazole moieties in bacteria. The previously detected thiamin-regulatory element, thi box was extended, resulting in a new, highly conserved RNA secondary structure, the THI element, which is widely distributed in eubacteria and also occurs in some archaea. Analysis of operon structures identified a large number of new candidate thiamin-regulated genes, mostly transporters, in various prokaryotic organisms. The record is from RNAcentral. Lineage: Bacteria; Bacillati; Chloroflexota; Chloroflexia; Chloroflexales; Roseiflexaceae.
ACCGUUCCGUAGGGGCGCUUCGCUGACAGAGCGAGGCUGAGAAGUUACCCUUCGCACCUGAUCCGGGUAAUGCCGGCGUAGGAAAUCGGAACCGGUCAUCGG